This 253-nucleotide ribosomal RNA is filed under the name uncultured bacterium. Its description in RNAcentral is "partial 16S ribosomal RNA". It matches the Rfam family "Bacterial small subunit ribosomal RNA", at positions 524 to 776 of the family's 1533-position model. The record is from RNAcentral.
UACGUAGGGUGCGAGCGUUGUCCGGAAUUACUGGGCGUAAAGCGCGCGUAGGCGGCUCGAUCAGUCGGGUGUGAAAUCCCUGGGCUCAACCUGGGAACUGCAUUCGAUACUGUCGAGCUAGAGUGUGGGAGAGGGUAGUGGAAUUCCCGGUGUAGCGGUGAAAUGCGUAGAUAUCGGGAGGAACAUCAGUGGCGAAGGCGACUGCCUGGCCCAACACUGACGCUGAGGUGCGAAAGCGUGGGUAGCAAACAGG